Molecule: long non-coding RNA, 1775 nt
Filed under: Heterocephalus glaber (naked mole-rat)
Lineage: Eukaryota; Metazoa; Chordata; Mammalia; Rodentia; Bathyergidae
Description: lncRNA (ENSHGLG00100040486.1)
Source: RNAcentral
ACCCAGCCUGAGAAAUCAAGCCUUUGCCUUUAGCCAAGUGCUACAACAUCUUCCUGGAGGAAAUAUGGAUAGCCAGGCUCUGUGGUGGAGGAGGGUCUUUUUUCUCAUUUCCCCAUUAGAAAGGGGGGAGAUUUCCCUCACUGGCCUUUGUCCCUUUCCCACCUGAAAUGCUUCCCCUUGGUUUACUCUUUCUGCCUCUCUGAAUCCCAGGAGGACCAGUUCAAAUCCCCUUUCCUUCCUGAAACCCUCCCUAACUCUCUGAGGAAAACAGUAACCCCCUUCCCUGUGAACACCUGGAUAACCCUACUGCCCAGGCUGCUUGACAUUUUGGAUGUUUUCCCUUAUACUGACAAUUAUUUUUGCUCAUAUUUCUUUUUUAUGCUGCUUCAGAGUGGACAUACUGCCCUGGGAUUUUGUAAAACCUAUUGUGUAUAUGGCAUACAUUAAGAAAAAACUUCAUACUUUGGGAGAAAAGCAUCUAGAAAGGAAUUUGAAGUAAAUAUAUUAACAAAAGAUUGUUACAGGUUCCAGAUUCAGAGAAGUACAACUGAUCCAAACAGUUAUAAAAGCUUAGGAGACAGCUUUCGGAGGAUUUUUCGAACAGAAGGGUAUGUAUUGUUUUUGAUACAUAGACCCUUUGUUGAGAGAGGCAUGUUAAUGUAUUUGUGCAAAACAUAUUUUCUCAUUUUCCAUAGUUUAUUUUCCUAGCUUUAUUGGGAAAACACUUAAAAGUGGGCUUUCCAACUUUGUUGUAUUUUUCCUGACAUGAUUAAAAACUGAAUAUGUAUAUAGUAGAAACUUCCACAGAAAAGGUUAUUAAUAGCUUGCUUAAUGAUUAGAGGACAGUUUCCAAUUUAUAUCAUUAAGGUUUUCAAAAGUUCUUAUAACCAAGGCCACCUAAACUUGACAGUUCUUUAUUUUGUACUUAAAAAUAAUCCCCAAAUGCAUUCCUUGUUUGCACACUGGUUUAUAAAUAUGCAAUCAAAACAAAUCUGUGUCAAAAACUGAUGCAUCAAAUCCAUUAUCAUAUCUAUUAGAUCAAUGGUCCCCAGCUUUUUGGGGACUGGUUUUGUGGAAGACACUUUUCCAUAGACUGGGGUGGGUGGGGAAGAGGAGAUUCCAGCACAUGACAUUUAUUGUGCACUUUAUUUCUGUUAUUAUUAUGUUGCAGUAUGUAGUGAAAUAAUUACCAUAAUGCAGGGGACUGUUGGUACUUUCUUUUAAAUGUAGCUUUUUUUCCCCAGUCUUAGAUUCUCCCACUGUAUCAUCAUUGGGUCUUUCCCCCUUUUCAGAGAAGCUCUCUGGUUAUGUAAUAUAUUUGCAUUCAAAAAUUAUUUUCAUAAGAGAAUUGCUUAAAAAUAACUAUUGAACAUCUUACAAUAAUGAUAAUUAAUAUAUAUUUAGACUCUAUUAUAUACUUAGAAUUCUCCUUACAACUCUGCAAGGUAGGUUCCACUCCAGUUGGACAGAAUUCAAAAAAAUGUAGAGAAGUUAGUAAAUUUCACAUGUUUGUAAGUAGAGGAGCUGGACCUCAAAUCCGUAUCAGCUUGACCCUCUGUAGUUCAUUACCUCUCUUGACAGAUUAUACUAUAAAAACUAUUUUACUAAUAAUUUAUUUUAGUCAAACCUACAUCAGUAAUAUCUUUUCAGGCCAAUAUAUCCUUAAAAACAGCUAUAUGCUACAAUUUAUUAAAUUAAUUCCUUAGGUGAAUCUUAAUUUUUUUCAGAUUUUUGCUAUUAUAAAUAAUAGUGCAAUAAAUAUUCUUAUACAGUCA